Molecule: ribosomal RNA, 443 nt
Filed under: uncultured bacterium
Lineage: Bacteria
Description: bacterial SSU rRNA
Rfam family: Bacterial small subunit ribosomal RNA
Source: RNAcentral
UAGGGAAUAUUGGUCAAUGGGUGAGAGCCUGAACCAGCCAUGCCGCGUGCAGGAAGAAGGCCUUCUGGGUUGUAAACUGCUUUUGCCAGGGGAUAAAAGGGUCGUGCGCGACACAUUGAAGGUACCUGGUGAAUAAGCCACGGCUAACUACGUGCCAGCAGCCGCGGUAAUACGUAGGUGGCGAGCGUUGUCCGGAUUUAUUGGGUUUAAAGGGUGCGUAGGCGGCCCUGUAAGUCAGUGCUGAAAUAUCUCGGCUUAACCGAGAGGGUGGCAUUGAUACUGCAGGGCUUGAGUACAGAUGAGGUAGGCGGAAUUGACGGUGUAGCGGUGAAAUGCAUAGAUAUCGUCAAGAACACCGAUAGCGAAGGCAGCUUACUGGGCUGUAACUGACGCUGAUGCACGAAAGUGUGGGGAUCAAACAGGAUUAGAUACCCCGGUAGUCC